GGGAGCUUCCUUUUGAUUAGUUAGUUGGUGGGGUAAAAGCUUACCAAGGCAUCGAUCAGUAGCUGGUCUGAGAGGAUGAUCAGCCACACUGGGACUGAAACACGGCCCAAACUCCUACGGGAGGCAGCAGUGGGGAAUUUUCCGCAAUGGGCGAAAGCCUGACGGAGCAACGCCGCGUGAAGGACGAAGGCCUCUGGGCUGUAAACCUCUUUUCAAAGGAAAAAGAUCUGACGGUACUUGAGGAAUAAGCCACGGUUAAUUCCGUGCCACCAGCCGCGGUAAUACGGGAGUGGCAAGCUUUAUCCGGAAUUAUUGGGCGUAAAGCGUCCGCAGGCGGCUUUUUAAGUUUGUUGUAAAAGCGUGGAGUUUAACUCCAUUUCGGCAAUGGAAACUGGGAGGCUUGAGUGUGGUAGGGGCAGAGGGAAUUCCCGGUGUAGCGGUGAAAUGCGUAGAUAUCGGGAAGAACACCAGUGGCGAAGGCGCUCUGCUGGGCCAUAACUGACGCUAAUGGACAAAAG
This 518-nucleotide ribosomal RNA is filed under the name uncultured cyanobacterium. Its description in RNAcentral is "bacterial SSU rRNA". It matches the Rfam family "Bacterial small subunit ribosomal RNA", at positions 225 to 759 of the family's 1533-position model. Lineage: Bacteria; Bacillati; Cyanobacteriota. The record is from RNAcentral.